GCUUGUCUCAAAGAUUAAGCCAUGCAUGUCUAAGAAUAAGCCCAUAGAACGGCGAAUCUGCGAAUGGCUCAUUACAUCAGUUAUUGUUUAUUUGAUGGUACACUAUGCCUUUUAGGCAGGGCUACUUGGAUAACCGUAGUAAUUCUAGAGCUAAUACAUGCCUUGAAAAGUCCUGACCUUUAUGGAAGGGAUGCAGUUAUUAGAUACAAAACCAACCCGGGCAACCGGUCCUUUGGUGAUUCAUGAUAACUUUGCGAAUCGCAUAGCUUUAAUGCUGGCGAUGGGUCAUUCAAAUUUCUGCCCUAUCAACUUUCGACGGUAGGAUAGAGGCCUACUGUGGUGAUAACGGGUAACGAAGAAUAAGGGUUCGAUUUCGGAGAGGGAGCCUGAGAAACGGCUACCACAUCCAAGGAAGGCAGCAGG
RNAcentral lists this ribosomal RNA (423 nucleotides) under uncultured Blastocladiomycota. Its description in RNAcentral is "partial small subunit ribosomal RNA". It matches the Rfam family "Eukaryotic small subunit ribosomal RNA", at positions 30 to 432 of the family's 1831-position model. The record is from RNAcentral. Lineage: Eukaryota; Fungi; Blastocladiomycota.